RNAcentral lists this ribosomal RNA (253 nucleotides) under uncultured bacterium. RNAcentral's name for it is "partial 16S ribosomal RNA". It matches the Rfam family "Bacterial small subunit ribosomal RNA", at positions 524 to 776 of the family's 1533-position model. The record is from RNAcentral.
UACGGGGGGGGCAAGCGUUGUUCGGAAUUACUGGGCGUAAAGGGCUCGUAGGCGGCCAACUAAGUCAGACGUGAAAUCCCUCGGCUUAACCGGGGAACUGCAUCUGAUACUGGAUGGCUUGAGAUUGGGAGAGGGAUGCGGAAUUCCAGGUGUAGCGGUGAAAUGCGUAGAUAUCUGGAGGAACACCGGUGGCGAAGGCGGCAUCCUGGACCAAUACUGACACUGAGGAGCGAAAGCCAGGGGAGCAAACGGG